This 1150-nucleotide long non-coding RNA is filed under the name Cyanistes caeruleus (blue tit). Its description in RNAcentral is "lncRNA (ENSCCEG00000002247.1)". Lineage: Eukaryota; Metazoa; Chordata; Aves; Passeriformes; Paridae. The record is from RNAcentral.
CCCACAUCCCGGAUUUUUCCCCCUCCCGAUCCCGUUUUUCCCGUUGGGAUCCCGUUUUUCCCGGCAGGCACUGUAACAUGGUGCUGGAGAACGUCAAGGAGAUGUGGACCGAGGUGCCCAAGAGCGGCAAAGGGAAGAAGAAAUCCAAACCCGUCAACAAGGACCGGUACAUCUCCAAGAUGUUCCUGCGCGGAGACUCCGUCAUCGUGGUGCUCCGUAACCCCCUGAUCGCGGGGAAAUAACGGGGAAUUCCCAGCUGGAAACAUCCUGGAACAUCCCAGAACCUUCUGGAACAUCCCAGAGCAUCCCAGAGCAUCCCAGAGCAUCCCAGACUCCGUCAUCGUGGUGCUGCGCAACCCCCUGAUCGCGGGGAAAUAACGGGGAAUUCCCGAUUGGAAACGUCCCAGAACCUUCUGGAACAUCCCAGAACCUCCCGGAACAUCCCAGAACAUUCUGGAACAUCCCAGAGCAUCCCAGAGCAUCCCAGGCUCCGUCAUCGUGGUGCUCCAUAACCCCCUGAUCGCGGGGAAAUAACGGGGAAUUCCCAGCUGGAAUCAUCCCAGAACCUUCCAGAACCUUCCAGAGCAUCCCAGAGCAUCCCAGGCUCCAUCAUCAUUGGGAAUUCCCUGCUGGAAUCAGCCCUGGAACCUCCCAGAACCUUCUGGAACCUUCCAGAACCUUCCGGAACCUUCCAGAACCUUCUGGAACCUCCCCAGAGCGGCUCCGUCAUCGCUGGGGAGCUUGGGAUUCCUUGGGAAUCAUCCGUGGAACCUCCCAGAACCUCCCAGAACCUUCCAGAACCUCCCGGAACCUCCCAGAAGUUUCCAGAACCUUCCGGAACCUUCCAGCCCCCUCCGGCUCAUCCCACAUUUCCCCUCCCCCCUCGUUCCUGGCUGGAUUUUCGGGAAGGAGCCGAAUUUUGGGAUGGAACAGGAAUUUUGGGAUGGAGCAGGGAUUUUGGGCUGGGAUUUUUGGGAUGGAGCUGGGAUUUUUUGGGAUGGAUGGAACAGGAAUUUCGGGAUGCAGCAGGAAUUUUUGGGCUGGGAUUUUUGGGAUGGAACAGGAAUUUUUGGGAUGGAGCUGGGAUUUUUUGGGAUGGAAUUUUUGGGCUGGGAUUUUUGGGCUGGAACAGGAAUUUUUUGGGAUGGAC